Molecule: ribosomal RNA, 429 nt
Filed under: Bacteroidota bacterium
Lineage: Bacteria; Pseudomonadati; Bacteroidota
Description: Bacteroidetes bacterium partial 16S ribosomal RNA
Rfam family: Bacterial small subunit ribosomal RNA
Source: RNAcentral
UAGGGAAUCUUCCGCAAUGAACGCAAGUCUGACGGAGCAACGCCGCGUGAGUGAAGAAGGAUUUCGGUUCGUAAAACUCUGUUGUUAGAGAAGAACAGCGCAUAGAGUAACUGUUAUGCGUGUGACGGUAUCUAACCAGAAAGCCACGGCUAACUACGUGCCAGCAGCCGCGGUAAUACGUAGGUGGCAAGCGUUGUCCGGAUUUAUUGGGCGUAAAGCGAGCGCAGGCGGUCAAUUAAGUCUGAUGUGAAAGCCCCCGGCUCAACCGGGGAGGGUCAUUGGAAACUGGUUGACUUGAGUGCAGAAGAGGAGAGUGGAAUUCCAUGUGUAGCGGUGAAAUGCGUAGAUAUAUGGAGGAACACCAGUGGCGAAGGCGACUCUCUGGUCUGUAACUGACGCUGAGGUUCGAAAGCGUGGGUAGCAAACAGG